Molecule: ribosomal RNA, 465 nt
Filed under: Vreelandella stevensii
Lineage: Bacteria; Pseudomonadati; Pseudomonadota; Gammaproteobacteria; Oceanospirillales; Halomonadaceae
Description: partial 16S ribosomal RNA
Rfam family: Bacterial small subunit ribosomal RNA
Source: RNAcentral
CCUACGGGUGGCAGCAGUGGGGAAUAUUGGACAAUGGGGGGAACCCUGAUCCAGCCAUGCCGCGUGUGUGAAGAAGGCCCUCGGGUUGUAAAGCACUUUCAGUGAGGAAGAACGCCUGGUGGUUAAUACCCAUCAGGAAAGACAUCACUCACAGAAGAAGCACCGGCUAACUCCGUGCCAGCAGCCGCGGUAAUACGGAGGGUGCGAGCGUUAAUCGGAAUUACUGGGCGUAAAGCGCGCGUAGGUGGCUUGAUAAGCCGGUUGUGAAAGCCCCGGGCUCAACCUGGGAACGGCAUCCGGAACUGUCAAGCUAGAGUGCAGGAGAGGAAGGUAGAAUUCCCGGUGUAGCGGUGAAAUGCGUAGAGAUCGGGAGGAAUACCAGUGGCGAAGGCGGCCUUCUGGACUGACACUGACACUGAGGUGCGAAAGCGUGGGUAGCAAACAGGUUUAGAUACCCGAGUAGUC